Xyrichtys novacula (pearly razorfish) is the source of this 12416-nucleotide non-coding RNA. Lineage: Eukaryota; Metazoa; Chordata; Actinopteri; Labriformes; Labridae. The record is from the annotation of a GenBank genome assembly.
ACUAAAGUAAGCUGGAGUGUGUGUGAGACAGCGGGAAGAGUGAUGAGUAACAAGAGAGAGCCUGUAAAAGAGAAAUGAGGAGUAAAAGUAAGUGAAAAGAAACAGGCAAAGAGGACGAGAUUUGUGUGUGCGAGCCAGAGAAGAAGAAAAAAAAAAAGCGCAGAAAGACAGAGAGACUGUGUGUGACAUAAAAAAGAGGGAGAGAUGCGAAAAACAAGAAAGAGAGAGAGCGAUCAUAUGAGAUACACGAGGAGGAAUGUGUUAAAGCGUAAAAAAAAGAGGUGAAGUGAGAGACUUAAGUGUAAGGAUAAGUGUGUGCAUAAGUGAAAACGAGAGGAAGGGGGCACACAAGCUCAGGGAAGUGUCCUCCUGUUCAAACUUGUCCAACUCACAUCUGGAGCCAAGUGCUGAAAGGCCUGGAAGUUACAUCUGUGGCUUCCAACGGUCAGGAAGGUCUGAGCAAAGAGAUCCUGGACACCAAAUAAUUCCUGCACUCAGAUUAAAUUUCCACUUCCUGCCCACUCCCACAGGCUCAGGUCAGCCAGUCCCCAGGACGUCUUCUUCUAUCAUCAGUGUAGAGGAGUCUGCAGAAAACACACUGUACUCAUACUUUAUAAAAGGUAUUGAAACUCAUGAAUAUAUUUGACAAAAGUAAAAAUUUGACAGUAAAAACCGCUCGGCUGAAUGAGAUUUCAGAAAGGUUCCCUGUAGACUAAUGAAACACCGAAGAGCUCUGCAAUACCUUUAUUAAAUCUGACACUAAAGUCCGCUGUUGAUACUACAGGAGUGUCCUAAUGUUAGGCAAAAUCAAUCAAUCAGUCAGUACGUUUAAGACACCCAGAUAAUGCGAUUGGAAUUCGAUUUUCAGCGUAGUUGGAGUAUGAUAGGACAAUGCAUGUGCACCACAAUCCCCGGAGAGGUGGUGUAGCGUGCAUCUCAUCUGCAGAAAAAGUAGUGCAUACAUCAUGUACGACAAAAACGAUGCCGUACGAUGCUCCAUGUUCUUGCUCCAAAAUGCCCAGCAGUAGUUGUAGCCACUUCUGACGUCUGGCAUGGACCAGCUGUUGUUGUUGACAGUUGUAUGAGGUCAGAAACAGCGCUGCUCAAAAGACCCAUAUCGCCCAUAUUGGGGAGGAGGACACGUUCAUGUCAAUAAUUUGAUUUUCUUAGCUGCAUGUAUAUGCGGACAAGUAGAGAAGUACAAUUCGGCAAAAAAACUGAAUUAUGAGCUUAGUCCGAUUCCAAGCCGAGCAUGUAAACGCACCGAGUCUUUAUAUGUGUUAGCCCAAGACACUAAAGCUGGUCUAGACCAGACUCUAUUAGAUCGAGUGUAAAGGGGGGUGAGAGGUUAGAUUGAGCCCCAUCCUGUAAGAUCAGACCCACUCCUAUCUCAUCCUCAACCACACACAGAUGAAACACUAUGAAGUUACAGUGGAGAGGAAGAACUUCCUUUAACAGGCAGAAACCAUAAGCAGAACCAGACUCCUGUUAGACAGUCAUCUGCUAAGACUGAUCUGAGUUUAGAGAGGAGGGAGAGGGAGAUGGACACUGACGUUUGUAGCUGAAGCAGCUGAAAAGCAGGCAGGUCCAAGGCAGAAAAACAUCUGCAGCAGCAAUCCAGUCUCUUACACUCCAUCCGAGUCCAAUGUAUUCCUCCAGAGAAGUUUUACGAACCCUCUCCUGUAUGAGUCAAAGUCCUGAUUUCUAGAAAUCCAGAUGAUCGAGUUAGGAGACAGUGCUACAUGACUCCAAGAACUUGUCAUGUUUUCUAUCUGUGAGUUUUUACCUCACCUCAUCUUGAACCUGGAAACCUGCUGGAAAGUUGGUGCAACAAUCCUCAAAUUAUCCUAUUUUUUAUUAAAAGUGCUGUUUCUCUUUCCUGGUAACUUCCCGUUCUUUAAAUCUACGGUUAUUUGAUCACGACAUGCAGAAGAGCCCAUCCCUCUGCAAACGAUCAGACGAUCUUAUGAGUAAUAGAGAAUUCAAAGCGUGAAAAAAAACAGAGUCAUAAAACUAGAUAUGAUAUUUAUUUGAUAUGGAAAUGUUUAUACAUAUGCAUUGCAGCUUAUUAAUUAUUCAUAUUGUCUUGUUUUUUCCGAUUGUCUGUGAUAUACAUUAUGUAUUCUCUUCUUCCGACAGACGCAUCUUUGAAAUGGGGAGAAGAAAGAGGUAAAAAGAAAAAAGGAAGGAUCAGUUGGUGUCUCUCACUUUGACUACAAAAGAGUGAAAGAGGAAAAACUUCAUUAUAUGGGCAAGUGACAGGAAAUGUGGAGCACGACGACAGAGAGACUCGCAGAAUAAGGACCUUUUUUUUUUUUUUACCACCUCUGUUUCAUGUCUGUCGCUGAAAAACAAAGAAGGCGUCUCUGUGGACCCCACUAUCCAUAACACAUACACAUACACACUCAGACAUGCACACACUCACACUGACCCCAUAUCUCACAAACAAUGCCACCAACCAUCAGCUGUCAUCUUUAUUCAGUGUCUUAUUCGCUCCAUAAUCACCAGUACAGACAGUGAAACAGAAAGUUAAUGCAUUAAAUACUGGUGUCACUGUUCACUCUGCUUUAUGACACUUAAAUAAAACAUCACUCUGCAUAUCAUAGCUUUAGACUUCAGGUAAAUACAGCUGAUAAUGCUUUUAAACAAAUAUUGAGUGUAGGGCUCCACUUCUAUUUGUUUUAAAAUUAGGUCACUUUUUUGUUCGCUUUUAGAAAUGUGUACUCACUCGCAGAGGAUGAAAUUGAGAAAUAAAUCACAAUUAAAUGAUUUAUCAUUUCAUUUUGUAUGCCUGCCUGAUUAAAAGCACUUUGAAGAUUUAAAUAAAACAGUUUUUUAUUUUUUAUUUUUUGGAAAGAGAGAUGCUACAGUGUUAAUCUGAGAUUUCUCCCUCCUAUUUCCCCUUUGAGAGUGUUUGUUUAUAGGUGCAUUUGUUUUUCUAUCCACACCUAUGAGAAAUGUGGGUUAUUCAUUUAUUUGUUUAUACUUGAUUAUUUUUAUUUUUUGAGAUAUUUGUCAACAGUAAGUGUUAUACCCACAUGGGAUGCUCCUUUGUGGAGAAUCUCGCUGGAGAACCAGAACAGGGCCAGACCAUCAACGACUGGACCACGUGAGCAAGCUCCUUUUAACAAACUCAAACUAAAACACUGUCCGUUUAGAUGUACCCUUAUAUUUAGAAAAUUUCACCACUUCACUUCUGUUCAUUUGUUUGAUGCUGUUCUGUGGGUUUUUUUUCUGUUGGGCCAUUAUGUUGGUUUUUGGCUUCUCUGCUUUUGGUGAACUCUUCCUUUUUUUCCCCUUCAAGCUAUUACUAUUAUUAUUAUUAUUGUUACUUAUUUUUAACUGCAAAUGUCAUAAGGGGCAACAGAGUCAGUGACUUUAUUUGAACACUAGUUUCAAAACUCCUGAUAGUUCCUUAAAGGUUUAAGUGUGAUCAAGAAAUUUGUUUCCCUUUUGUCCGUAGUUUAUUUCACUUCACCAGUUUAAAGUAGAUUAGUCGUUUAAUAGUUACUGUUAAAGUCGAUAUACAGUUGUCUCUGGCAUUGUCUCUGCAGAGUGACACACACUGUACAUGUGGAAGUGAAACCUUAGUAAGAAUUAAUUCAUACAUUUGCUCCAUGACUUUUAAAUUCUUUUUAAAAAACGUUUGAAUGUUUUUUACAGAUUGUUUAUAGAGAGUGUUACAUAUUUUCAGGUGUCCUGGGACCAGUUUGUGAUAUAGAAAGAGAAUUAGGAGAAAAUCAUGGAGUGUACAAAGAGUUCAGGAGUGGCUAAAGGUAAUCGAUCACUAAUAUGUUGGAAAUUUAUCAGAUGUAUGUAUGUAUUAUAUGUAUUAGGAAUUCUUUCUUCUGGCAUGAUUUGGGUUGAUAUUACAACUGUUGACAUUGUUUCUGCUCUUAAAUCCAGUCAUCGACAUAGGUCAACAAAAUUACCUUGAUUGUUGAAGGGAAUCAACAGCCCCUCAUAUCUUUACACAGACAUGAUUACCACUUUUUGUAUUACAAUCACAUGAUUUUAAACGUAUUUAUAAGGUAUUUUUGAAAUGUACUGUCCUUUAAUUUUGUCCUUGUAUAUCUGCUGUUUCUGUGGUUUUAAAAUCACAUUGUGACUGAUUUUUAUAUGGUCAAUAAAACUCCUUUUUUGCUCUUUGCCUCUACACAAAUAAUGAAUACUAAUUUUAAGAAGAAAGAGAAGAAAUUAUAUUAAAAAGUGUUUUGUAUGGUUGUAUGUUAAAACAAAAGCAUGGCAGAGUGAUCAUAAGCAGCUUCAGAGCAACAUCCUCAUCAUCCAUGCUCUUAGCUGCUUUGAAUAUUUCAGCAGCUGCAUUAAUCCCUUGAUCUGGUAAACAAGGAUCAAUAACAUUGAGUCAGUUUCCUCACACGCCUGCACUCUCUCGGUUUCUAUAGUAAUGUAAAAUGUCAGUUAAGGCAGCUCUGUUGUGCUUAAAUGCACCAUGCAGAAUCAGUGGAUGUGGUUUACUGGCUGAGGUCAGAGUGGGGUUAGGUGUGUGUGUGUGUGUGUGUGUGUGUGUGUGUGUGUGUGUGUGUGUGUGUGUGUGUGUGUGUGUGUGUGUGUUGGGAGGGGGUGUUUUGACUGGCCAAUGCCUUUUUUCUUUUUCUACAUUUUUGAUGCUGACUGCUGUGCUGGUGUUAUCAGGUCCCAUUGGGAAAUGUUUCCAACAUCAGUCACUGAGUGUGUGUUUGUGUGUGUGUGUGUGUGUGUGUGUGUGUGUGUGUGUGUGUGUGUGUGUGUGUGUGUGUGUGUGUGUGUGUGCGCGUGCACUAGGGUGUGUUUCUGUAUAUAUCUGUUUCUGUAUGCAGAAAUAUGUGUGUCCCAGUGUGUCUGUGUGUACCGACAGCACAGUAAUCUGUAGGCGGGUCAUCAUUCUUAAUGCAGCCUGUGUCAUCAGUUCCCGUGACAACAGGGGGAAUGAUGUGGCCGAUACAUAUGAAACAGGGUGCCAUGCAUAAACAUAGAGGCUGCAGGAGGAGGAGGAGGGCGAGGGCAGCGCGGGGCCGAGGUUAUAUGGGGGAUAUGUGUGUAUGUGUGUGUGUGUGCGCUACCUGGACCUCUUUCUAUUCCAGUUUAUUAUUCAUGAGCCCCCCUCCCUAUUGCACUGUCACUAGCCCCUCCCCCUCACAGUAUAUGUGUGUACGUGCAUGUGUGUGUUUGUGUGUGUGAUGGAUAGUGACAGCAUCAAUGGAUGGUAGAUCAGGAUUAAGAUCAAACACAGCUCAACGUCACUCUCUGUCAGGUUCACUGGACAUGUUUGGCCACACAUGCCUACAAAUAAAAACACACACAAACACUUACAGGUCAACAAACGCACUCGAAAAACAAGAGUUAAAAAUACUGAUAAAAAAAGAAAAAAAACAGUUAUCACAUUCAGCUUCAAAGUAUAUGUUAACUUUGUUGUCAUGUUUUUGUCACUAGUGAAUCUUUAAAUAAAGGGUGAUUGUUUCAUGAGGCGGGCUAUGCAAACCACCAGUGAUAGUGUUUUGAAGAUGAAGGUAUAAACUGGCCACAGUGUCAAAGUACGUUGUUAUUUCCAAUUUCAAUUUAUAUUGCAUCAUGUUGUCACCUGGCGCUCUCAAUCUCUCUACUCAUAAAAGGGGGUUUAUGAACACUGCGUCCUAACAUCUAUAGUUUGUCAAGCGUGUGUGUGUGUGUGUGUGUGCGCGCCUACAUUUGUGACAAUGUGUGCCCCAUACUCACAGGAAGUUUGUAGUGGGGGGGACACUUGGCUUAUUUGUUCUGGGUGAGCACACAUACACGUUGAACCACACACACACACGUGCACAGAGCAGAGGCGGUGAAGGCAGUUAUGGCCUCCUCUCUCCUCGCACGGCAUUCCAAAGGGAGAUGUUUUCAAUUCAUUCAUUAUAGAGGGGUCACACUGGGUCAAGUUCAAUGCCAGGAAAAAAAAGAGCGGCUACAAUGAGGGGAAAGCCACCCACACACACACACACAUGCGUGCACACACAUGUACACACACAAGCGUACACAAUAUCCAAUGUAGUAAGCACAGCACUAGCAGAAUUAUUGCUUGCUGAGCUUGGGAUCUGGUGUAAAUACACCAAAAAUUAGCCUCAUUGUGUGUAUUUUAACAGGAGAGACAUAAGAGUGGGAAUAAUAGGAUGGAAGGUGAUGAGGGGGUGGAUGAGGUUGAGGUGGGGCAUUGGUUUGGUGUUGAGAGGACUGGACAGUAAACAUGUCAGAGCAGAUGGGUAAUGAUGUUAUUAGUAUGCAUCACAGCCUCUCAGUCGCACACACAUCAAAACACACACUCUCCCUUUUUUCACAUCUUUUUCUAACGCCACUCUCCUUGGCCUUGUCUCUUACCCCCUUUUGUGCUCUGGCAAAUGUAGACGUUAUAUAAGUUUAACUCACAGCAAGUAGCUCAAGUGUAAUUAGGGAUACUUACACUUUAGCUAACAGUACAUGACUGUUUUCCUGUAUCAGGGAUCUGAGAUGCUGUUACAAACCUGUGAGAGGGAAAAAGAGGGAGAGGUGUGUACAACAGCAACGCUCACAGAUGACUGUGUUUUAACCUUAUUUCAGGGCUAAUGUAGCCUGAACAGGUUGUUAUAAUAGGGUGGAACUCUAAAUGGGCCUCAGUUGGACUCAUCCUACUGGCAUCUUCUGCUAUAAAAACAUACUCAGUAUACAUAUUCAAUAGCUCUACAUUUUACACCAAAUAUUGCUCUAGAAAGUCUGUAGCUUCUAAAAAACAAAUAAAAAGUGCUAACUUAUGGUGCAUUUUGACCGACUGGUCCACUGGGUAUGUUUGGUACAGUGAACCUGGGUCUUUAAAAGCAGACUGUAGCCUGGCCCUUGUUGCAACAUAAGACAGCUUGAUUUCCAUCAUUUAAAUAUGUUACCAUAUUUGACUUUUUUUUGCAAUCCUUGCGUGGAUCUCAGCCAAAAAUAAACAGAAAUGAAGCUGCAAGUGUCGAUAGAUGGGUCCUCGCACUUUUUGCACAUGUUGGACCUGUAGCAGCUGUGGCUGUGCAGUACAAUGUACCUGCAGCUAUGACUUCGCAGGAGUAGGAGUUUUUGGCUUAAUAUACUGUACGUCUAGCAAAAAACACGCACGUUAUUUGGACCCAUUGGCUAUCGCUAAAAGUUUGAAAAUUAUAGGGGACACUGCAGAGCUCUUUUUGGGAAUUUUCUCCACAAAACCAAUGAAUCAUCUUUUUUUUUUUUUUUUCCAGGCCUGAUACGUUAACAGAAAAAUGGUAAGUUUUGAGAGCAAGUCAAGGCCUCCAAAACUAAAACCAUUUUGGCAGGAAGGAAGGAAGACUCCAGCUGUCUCGCAAUACCGCUUUACGCAUCGCUCCGAAAAAUGCAGCCAAGUGGUUGUUGAUGAGGGACCGUGAAGCCGAUCCGGAUCGAACUGGUGAAAACCAAACACAGAUCUGGUGAAAUUCUGAGCCAGCAACAACAAGUCUCAGAUUUUUGUUCCCCUUAACUCUUAAGGUUGCUGUUGAAGAAAACGUGUAAAGAGACAAGUUUUUUGAGAAGAUUUAAGAUAAGAGAAACAAAUAACUUUAUUUAUCUUUGAGGGAAAAUUCAAAAAGACAUCGAGAUUAUACGUAAAAUGAAAAUUCAUUUAUUCUCUUGUUUAUCAUUGGCUAACACCCCCAAACCUCACUGGAGCCCAAAUGAUUUUCUUUAUUCUAUCAUUGAACAGUCUGCUUGGUAACAGAGUUAUUUGUUUUGUUUUGAAAGUGGUUCAUACUCUGAAAACAGGGUGAGGCCUCUGCUUACACUGACGUAAAGCUAAAUCUUGGGCUGGUAUUUUUGUGUUUUUUAAUGUCAGAUGUCCAAACCAGUUUGCUGAAUCACUCCUCAGUGACUUCUUUUAGAAAGUUUGGGGUUUAUUGGAGUUGGUCCUGACAAAAUUUCACCCUCUUAUUCUGCUUUUGGCUGAGCGUCACAGCUCCAUUGUCUUCUGGGGCGGCUGGAGUAUCGUCUUGUCGGGCUCUAAACCACAGAUGGUCAUUCUGAGUGGCCGGUCUGGUCAACUAAACGGCCAGCCAGCGGCCUUUUUCUUGGUUUUCAGACCUCAUUAUGGUGACACAGCGAACCACAAAUUCAUGAGAAGCUUUUGGACGAGCCGCAGCGUGCACAGAAAAAGAGAUUUCUGUUCUUCUCGCAGCUGUUGUGAAUCUUUUAACCGCAGAUGCUUCAAAACACUGGCUGCAGUAUGACAUCGAGACUCUUUGUUGUGGCAAGUUUUUGGAAAUCAAACAUGCAGAGCAGGUUUCUAUUAAACAGGACUCAUAAAUAAAGGUUAAACACAAUGGUUAAGCUUUUAAAAGUGUCCUAACAUUACACUGGGUGGGAUUCAUGCCUCCUUAGCUGAGCCCACCGCUAAGGAGUGAGUCAAAAAGUGCUUUACUCCGCCUCUGUCUGCUUUUUUCAGAUAGUUAAUGUUCCAUUUUCAGGCUGGCUGCAGCACCAUCUUCAUCAGAGACAGAAAAAACAGGAGUAAUUAAAAUGUCUUAACUUGUAGCUUAAUUACGAGCCAGCCACUGAAUCUCUUUGUCACUUCUCUUCUCUCCUGGUUCGCCCCUUUUGCAUAAAACAAUAAAACCUCUGUUAAAAAUGUAAUUUGCUCUUUGUUAAGAUUAGAUUCAGCCUCUUCUUUUCCUUGUCUAAGUUGAAACGUUGAAUCAAAUCAAAGAACAACACACUUCUCCUCUUUCCCCCCCAAUCUUUUACUUCUGAACAGCCUCCCCUUCUUGAGAUUCCUCCACACUGUAGCCAUGGAAAUGGGACUUUGGGGAUGAAAGGAAACCAUAAUUUUGUGGCGGGAUUAAUUUGGAGACAUGAGCGAUGCCAAAUGAAAUCCCUGUCAAAACCUCUGCUGAUUCUUUUCAUCGCCUGCAGAUCCCUGAGAAAUCUGUUCCCCGUGGCGUUUAUGAUUUGACAGUCCAGUAGUUUUGGACUUAGUUCCCCCCUGAUACCUCUGACAUGUUGACAUUAAGUGGUUUCUGAGACAGGCAGCACCCAUAUUUCAAUCACCAUUAAGCAAAGGAUAUUUGGUGUUAGUUUGAAUAGGAAAAAAGUGCCGGUGACAAACAGACAUUCACACAUACAACAGCAGGCAAACAACAGUAAUUACAUUAGAGGGGGAGCAGCCAGCGCAGCCAUUUCCUGGGAGUGCGGGGAGGUAAAUAUAGUCCACAUCUGACCCUAAGAACUAUCCAAGAACACCGGACGGAUUGUUUACAAGUGUCCUUGUCGAAUGUCCUUUUCUCCACAUCAGGUCUGUCAGAUGGAAAAACUUUGUACCAUCUCGCCACUUUUUACUUUGACAUGAAGGUAGCCCGUAACAAGGAAGGACGGAAAUAGAGAUAAUAUCAUCAAAAAUAUGGACAUUUUUGUUUUGUAGAAUAGGGUCAGAAUUUAUUUUCAGACCAGUAUCUUUUCGGUCAAAUCAACUGUUGAUGUCAUUGACUUCAGUUUAUCUCCAUCAUUUUUUUUCCUGUGAACACAUCCUACAUACCAAUUACCCCAAAUUACUUCAAACUAUCAGCACAAACAUGUCUUGAAGUUUUAAUGCGUACACUGAAAUUUUACAAAGUUUACAAAAGUUUUAAAACCUCAUGUACAAAUAUAAUGUACAGAUAUAAAUUCAAAUAAUUGUACAUUUUCCGCAAAAUAAGGUGAAUUUCCUUCAUAUGCUCACAAAAACAGGAACUGUUCACAUAAUUCUAAAAAAAACUCUAAGCAAAACUCCUCUGGUCUCAUUAUUCUAAAUCACAGUCUCAGAAAUCUCUGAUUGCGAAUCACACCUCUCCCAUUUUGUUCACCAGCUGCUUGGUUAGGGAGAAGAUUACCGCUGAUACAGUCCUCCAACCUGAUAGAGGGUGAUUUGGUUUGAUAUAUUUUAUGAUUUUUUACAAUUCUUUGUCAGUUUAACCGAAAACUUUGUAUUACAGAGCAAAUGAAUAUCUUUUUUUAGAGCCGCUGGUGUAUUUUCUUUGAUUUAUUUAGUAAUAUGACCAUUUCCACCACAUUCUGCUGACCUAUGUGACUACGAGUGCUGCACAGUCCUGAAACAUGCAUGUGUACAGACUAAUUGACCUUUUUUCAUCAGCAGUGGUAAUUGACUUUUCUCACUUUCAAUACAGCUGUUUGAUAGAAGCCAAGUUUGAGGAAGGAGACAGUCCUGCAUUUUCAGAACAACAGCCAAUCAAAUGCAAGACAUCAUCUCAACUUGUGGGGUUCAAAGCAAGUGAUAAAAAUGCUGUGCAGUUUUUCUAGUAAUUUUUAGAGAGCUUUUGGCUUACAGAAUUCAGUAAGGUGUUCUUCUACUCCUAGAAAAGUGUAGCUUAAGCUGUUAUGAGCAUAAUUUUGUCAAUUUCAGCUCUUAAAAGUGCCAGUAAUAGUCCCCCGGGGUUAACCUGUGAGAUGGUUUUCGGUCUUAUUAAUCCACAAGAGCGCCGGUGUUUCAGACAUCUGCAUGGUGAUGCAAAGUUUUGUGAUGUUGCUCUUAAAGUUUGAAGAAAGAAAAAAAAUGUCUUACUCUUUUCAUUUCCUUCAGAUAAAAGUAAAGUACUGAUUAUGUAGAAAACCACGGAUAGCCAAAGUAAAACAGCGUUAAGUAAAAAUUGAUCAUCAUUAUUAUGCAAACCAUGAUCAUGUUAAGCAUCUCAAACACUGUUAUCCGAAGAAAUACUACUUUUUAUUAGGGCAAAUGCACAAAGAAGUCAAAAAUAUUUCAAGAAUAUGAAAUAAAUGCAGGACCCCUCAGUGAGAAACUAGGUCCUACCCCUCCUCAUCCAAAGUCCUAGACGCCCACAAACCACACCUUGCAUGAACAUGUUUGUGCAUCAGACAGAGGAGGUAUGAACGGCUCCUACUCGCUCAAUUCAAAUUCUACCAGCAUUUGUGUGCACACUCACACACACACAUUUUUGCACACACACAAACGCUCAGAAAACCCAAACACAGCAUCCCACAUCAACUGGGACUUUAUGAAUCUCAUAUCUUCCGGAUAUACCUGCAUACUACAUGGCUUACUGCCUAUCCACCUGAAAUCCAACCAAACAAAGAAAUUUAUUCCCUCAGUAGAAGUCUCUCUUUCUGGAGGCUUUGCAACCACCAGCUGAGCUCCAUUUAAGCAAACUUCCAAUUUUAGAGCUUGCAUUCAAUUUGAGACCUGGAGACAUCAGAUCUAACAAGCAGGCAGGGAAGCCAUCACUAUUAGGACUUUAUGUUGUUUAUGUUGUGUCAAUUUUUCAUCUCCUUGGUCUCUGCUGUAUUAUCAAGCUGUGCUUUGCUACCUGAAGACUGUUCCUCUGCCGCUACAGAGGAAAAGUUUGAUGCUAAAAACUUCCUCUGAGUUUGGGGGUUUGGGGCUGAGAGAAUGAAAGGUGAGGGCUGCGCAAGACGGGGAGAGUAAGGUCAGCCCACAGCAUGCUAACUCCUGCAAUAUCUGGCAAGUUGCAGGCUUUCCGUGAGAUCAGAGCAGCACUUUUUCCUCAAUGCUUUUGCCUUCAUCAUCCCGAAAGUGACAUGCAGCUCUCCUUUACACACCCUCCCUCUAAACGCAGAUUAAAGAUUUUGCCUGUCAAGGGUGCACAGUCGCUGCUAGACAAGCCAACAACUUCCCUCUGAUUUAACUUUCAUAUCUUUUUACAAACCAGCUGCCAUACAUUAUUGAUGAUGUGUGAGGUCAGGACAAGAUCACAACAAGAAAAGCCACUGCCCACACGCUCGCAUCGCUCGCCCUGACAAAACACACCGCGUACACACACACACACACACACAUACGCAGACGGUCCAUGUUUUCCAUCUCAAGACCAGAGUUUCACCUGGACUUUGUCUGUUCUGCAAACACACCCUGUCCAUCGGUACAGAGUUGGUCGGGUGAAGGGGGCUGUCCCUUUGAAAUGAUAAGUAGAGUCUUCCGACACUGAGGGACUGUCAUUGAAGUCUUUGUUUGCCCAUCGGCGGCUCAGAGGCGUCUGUGAACUUGAGGGUCGGAGCAGAAUAGAAAUGACCAUGUAACCUACUUCGAGGUCACCUAAUAAGGGAAAUGUAUUCAUAUAUUUUCCUGGUUGUAUUAGUUCGUGCAAUAUGCUUCGCUUUGAAGCCCAAGGUUGCAGGUUCAUUUUUGAAGUGGUUUUCAAUCAUCCCUUGGCAUUGAAGUUUCUUUUGUGCAUUGAAUCUGGGCUUCAGAGGGCUACAGGUCCUGUUCAUCCUCAGAAUAUCUACAUACUGGCUAUAGCCCAUGAGAUUCUUUUAAUUGUUCUCUGUGUCACAGGUGAGGGAGUUUCUAGGAAUUUAAAUACCCACACAUACAGAAGAGCAGUCAUAAAAAGUCCCACAAACUCUAUCAAGUGGAUAUUUAGGACAGGCUGCAUCUGUGCGAGUCUCUUUUUCUGUCCAGCCGUCCAUCC